Molecule: unclassified non-coding RNA, 158 nt
Filed under: soil metagenome
Description: partial internal transcribed spacer 1
Source: RNAcentral
AUAAAAGGAUACCUGCACCGGUAUACCCCAUCCCGUGUCUAUCAUACUCUUGUUGCUUUGGCAGGCCGUGGUCCUCCACCUGUGGGCUCUGCCUGCAUGUGCCUGCCAGAGGACCAAACUCUGAAUGUUAGUGAUGUCUGAGUACUAUAUAAUAGUUA